Molecule: ribosomal RNA, 447 nt
Filed under: uncultured bacterium
Lineage: Bacteria
Description: bacterial SSU rRNA
Rfam family: Bacterial small subunit ribosomal RNA
Source: RNAcentral
UGGGGAAUAUUGGACAAUGGGCGAAAGCCUGAUCCAGCCAUGCCGCGUGAGUGAUGAAGGCCUUAGGGUUGUAAAACUCUUUCGCCGGGGAAGAUAAUGACGGUACCCGGAGAAGAAGCUCCGGCUAACUUCGUGCCAGCAGCCGCGGUAAUACGAAGGGAGCUAGCGUUGUUCGGAAUUACUGGGCGUAAAGCGCACGUAGGCGGGCUAUUAAGUCAGGGGUGAAAUCCCGAGGCUCAACCUCGGAACUGCCUUUGAUACUGAUAGUCUUGAGAUCGGGAGAGGUGAGUGGAAUUCCUAGUGUAGAGGUGAAAUUCGUAGAUAUUAGGAAGAACACCAGUGGCGAAGGCGGCUCACUGGCCCGAUACUGACGCUGAGGUGCGAAAGCGUGGGGAGCAAACAGGAUUAGAUACCCAUGUAGUCCCUGAGCGGGCUGGCAAGGCGCAU